Molecule: long non-coding RNA, 263 nt
Filed under: Homo sapiens (human)
Lineage: Eukaryota; Metazoa; Chordata; Mammalia; Primates; Hominidae
Description: HSALNT0100734
Source: RNAcentral
UAGAAGGAGAGGAAGUUCCCUUUUGGGGAGUUAGCCUUCCAGCCCCUGUGCAAAGCGCAGCUGAAAACAAAAGCCGUAGACACCCAUGAAGGAAACACAUGGAAAAGCUUCCUAUGACCGGAGACGCAGCACCGCAUCAGAGCAGCGCGCCCAUCUCAAGAUCCACACCCACGAGAGAAGAGCCGCGCUGCUUCUGUAGAGCUUGCUGGGAAGACCCCCCCAGGACGCCUGGCCAGUAAAGAGUGGCCAGCACUAACCUGCUU